CCUUAUUGCUUUCUACAACCCCCUGAAGGGAGGUUCUGGUGAAGUGAGUGGUCAGCUUCUUCUCCCAGCUAACAGCUAUAAGAUGAGAGGAAAUGACCUCAAGUUGCACCAGGGAGGUACAGGUUACUAGGAAAUCAGGAAAUAUUUCUCUGAAGGAGUGGUCAGGCACUGGAAUGGGCUGCCCAGGGAGGUGAUUGAGUCACCAGCCCUGGAGGUGCUCAAGAAACGUUCAGAUAUUGCACUGAGGGACACAAUUUAGUGGAGAAAUAUUGGUGGUAGGUGGAUGGUUGGACUGGGUGAUCUUGAAGAUCUUUUCCAACCUUGGUGAUUCUAUGAUUCUAUGAUCCUCCAUGACGACAGUGGUGUGGGGCUACUUCCAAGGUGACACUGGGUUGGAAGUCCUCCAAGCUGACACUGAGCAGUUUAUGAUCUCCAAGGCUCAGGAACCACUCAAGGCUUGGCAGAAACGUGAGUUACUCCACCAAAAGGAGAGCCCUGAAUUUGAUCCAUCAACUACAGCCAAGAACCCUUCCUUCAGAUCUGAUAAAGUCGUCAUUUUGAUGAAAAGAAGUGGAAAGAGGGGUGGAGAUCUCACCCUGAGAACAGAAUCACCAGCUUUCUAACACGAGGUUGAAACCACAGAUAACUCAGAAUUUGUUAAUGACUGCUUAUAAGGGAAAUGACUGUAGCAUUCACUUGUAGCAUUCAACUCCUUGUUUUGUUCUUUCUUUCUUUUAUUUUUUUCCUGGGAGUUGUCAUGUUCACCUGCAUUGCUAUACGGGAGCAAGAAGAAAUGAUUCAGAAGUUAAACACUGCUGUGAAGAGACCAUCAGCCUCACCAGCAUGUGCAAGCUCACAACUCCAGAAGGACCUUGCCGAGGAUGACUCCACCAGCACAAUCCACCAAUCUAUCACCUCCCAGAAUCCCACAUGAGAAGUGAGAUAUCCAGCCUCCCCAGCUGCUGAAUACAGGGAGAGCCUGCAAUAGAGCAGAGCAGCAGGGCAAACUACACAGAUGGCAGAGAGACUACUGAUCUCCCAACGUUCCUUCCAGUAUGGAUGCCUAGGACCUUCUCACUCUGGUAAAUUCAUGCCCAUCAUUUCCAGACUUUGCAGAGCUCCUUCCAGGGGAUGUUCCGGCAGUGAAGAGAUGCUCUGGACCCUCACUCUGCUGGAUUUAUUACCCAAGAGUACCAUGGUAUCCUGCUCUGUUGAGAACCCAAAUCUCUCAGCCCAAAUUUGGGAUGAACAGGGGAAGAAUCAAAGGCCAGGACAUGGCAAACGGAGGGCAACACAAUGACUGCGAGCCGUGACCCCAGAGGAAGCUCAUGGGGUUGAACCACGGCAGGAGGAAGCACUGUAAACCAUGGAGAAUGAAGAUGUCAAGGGCAGGAAAAGAGGGAGACUCAGCAGAGAGAUGAAGGGUUCUCAUCA
Molecule: long non-coding RNA, 1434 nt
Filed under: Gallus gallus (chicken)
Lineage: Eukaryota; Metazoa; Chordata; Aves; Galliformes; Phasianidae
Description: lncRNA (ENSGALG00010027601.1)
Source: RNAcentral